GUAAUGUUGAAUUAUUUUAUGCUGACAUAUGGAGUUAAAAUGGCUAAAAACCAGAAGAUUUCCAUUUCAAUGCUAUUUGUUUUAUAAUAGAAACUUCCCUUUUCUUCACCCUUCUACUUCCAGAAGGCUCUUAUUCAAUGUAUUCAGUCCUAGCCAAAAGGUCACUGUUUUCCUACAGGAGAGUCCUCCCUCCCCUUCCUGGCACCUCUGGAUGCUGUGAACGGAGCUCUCUUUCUCUGAGGCUGAGAUCUGUCAGCAGGAAGGUGCACCAUGACCCGCUGAGUGUCACCCUUCGCUCCUGCAGGUCAAGUGCAUCACCCCUGGGUGCUGCAGAAAUGUUGUGAGGAGAGGGACUGACAAUCCCUCCAGACCUCCUGGCUCUGACCCUAUAGCGCUCAGCAUCCUGACCAGCUUUCCACUGCAUUGUGCCAUUAAUCUAAAUUAAUUCAGUCUCUGACAGACAGGUCCCUAGGUAGGUGAUUUUUAGGUUUAUAUUAAAUUUCACAGCCUAGUUAUUUAAUAUUUGUAUAUGCAUUUUUCAUUGUGGACUCUCAACUUUGACAAGGCACUGAUGAAGUAACACAACCUGGAAUAUGAAGCAGUCAAGUAGCUGUUCAUUCUAACUGAAUUCUGACACUCCUAAUCACAGUAAAUACUAUAUUUAAUCUUUUUUUUUCUUACACUAUUCAGUGGGAGUUCUUAUGGUGUGACUUUCAAAUCCAUGUGAGUAAUGCUCUAUCCUGGGCUCUCUGUAAUAUUGGGAGAGGAAGUGCAGGAAGGCUGUUCUGUGAAGAAAUAAGAGACAAAAUAACCAGUAAGAAAAGCAGAGAAAGGACUCUACAGUAAGGCUACUCAGCUUGAUUUCAGUGGCUUGGGAUCAGAGACCUUUACUUGCACUGGAUGGAGGGAGUCAGAGUAGAACAAAGAGCAGCAAACCCACACUGAAGGAGGAUCUGAAUUCUAAGUGGAGAGGACAGUCUCGGACCCCACGGCAGAUAGGUUUAUGGAGAGACCAUCUGUUCUAUAAGAACUGGCUAUGAGGACAUAGAGGGACCUUCUUCUGCUUUGUAGUGUAUUUUCAUACUUCUAAAUUAAACUGUGCCUACAUGUCUUUACAACCAUUCCUCUUUCUUCACUUGCUUAUAAGAACUCAGACCAGCUCCAAGAUCUUGCUAUUCAUAGGAAACUAGCAAUGAUAUUUGAAGAAAAGAAACAAAAAA
RNAcentral lists this long non-coding RNA (1220 nucleotides) under Strigops habroptila (Kakapo). RNAcentral's name for it is "lncRNA (ENSSHBG00005004808.1)". The record is from RNAcentral. Lineage: Eukaryota; Metazoa; Chordata; Aves; Psittaciformes; Psittacidae.